UACGUAGGGGGCAAGCGUUGUCCGGAAUCAUUGGGCGUAAAGAGCGUGUAGGCGGUUCAGUAAGUCUGCUGUGAAAGUCCAAGGCUCAACCUUGGGAUGCCGGUGGAUACUGCUGAGCUAGAGUACGGAAGAGGCGAGUGGAAUUCCCGGUGUAGCGGUGAAAUGCGCAGAUAUCGGGAGGAACACCUAUUGCGAAGGCAGCUCGCUGGGACGUCACUGACGCUGAGACGCGAAAGCGUGGGUAGCAAACAGG
This 253-nucleotide ribosomal RNA is filed under the name uncultured bacterium. Its description in RNAcentral is "partial 16S ribosomal RNA". It matches the Rfam family "Bacterial small subunit ribosomal RNA", at positions 524 to 776 of the family's 1533-position model. The record is from RNAcentral.